RNAcentral lists this transfer RNA (76 nucleotides) under Cavia porcellus (domestic guinea pig). It matches the Rfam family "tRNA". From Rfam's summary of the family: Transfer RNA (tRNA) molecules are approximately 80 nucleotides in length. Their secondary structure includes four short double-helical elements and three loops (D, anti-codon, and T loops). The record is from Rfam by way of RNAcentral. Lineage: Eukaryota; Metazoa; Chordata; Mammalia; Rodentia; Caviidae.
AGGGGUGUGGCUCAGUGGUAGAUAGAGCACUUGCCUAACAUGCACAGGGCCCUGGGUUCCAUGCCUUGCAUCCCCA